CCCUAGCCCCGAUAGAAGUGGAAAUCCUUUUGCUUUUUCCUUUAAAAAGCAAAAGAUUGAAACCAAUAGCGGGAGAAAGC
This 80-nucleotide small RNA is filed under the name Flavobacterium collinsii. Its description in RNAcentral is "Flavo-1". It matches the Rfam family "Flavo-1 RNA". Lineage: Bacteria; Pseudomonadati; Bacteroidota; Flavobacteriia; Flavobacteriales; Flavobacteriaceae. The record is from RNAcentral.